AUUGAUUCAGGAAGAAUAGCAAGGCAUUCUAGCCUAGUUUUCAGUGACUUAGUUAUUUUAGACUUUGUGGGUGAUGUUAUAUACAUUUCAAAUAUUUUUCGAGACUUCAAAGAAAAUUUUUUUCUGUCCUUUUGUGCAGUAUUAUUCCUUACAAACUAGAUACAGUCUUUAUCUUGAUAUAUUCAUAUUCUACAGGUUCUUAGCUUUUCAAAAAUGUAUAGUUUUACCUAUCUAGCAUUAAUAUAAGUAU
This is a long non-coding RNA of Branchiostoma floridae (Florida lancelet), 250 nucleotides long. RefSeq lists it as uncharacterized. NCBI's taxonomy places the organism in Eukaryota, Metazoa, Chordata, Leptocardii, Amphioxiformes, Branchiostomatidae. The transcript has 2 exons. The record is from RefSeq and is a predicted model, not a curated record.